RNAcentral lists this long non-coding RNA (4020 nucleotides) under Sphaeramia orbicularis (orbiculate cardinalfish). RNAcentral's name for it is "lncRNA (ENSSORG00005001643.1)". Lineage: Eukaryota; Metazoa; Chordata; Actinopteri; Kurtiformes; Apogonidae. The record is from RNAcentral.
AUGUUAACUCCAACAAGCACAACUCAAACAACCACAACCACAGCUCCAACAACCACAGCUCCAACAACCAAAACAACAACUGCUUUUCCAAUAACCACAACUUUUGCUCCAACAACCACAACCGCAGCUCCAACAACCACAACUCCAGCUCCGACAACCCCAGCUCUAGCAAUCUUAACUCCAACAAACACAACUCAAGCUCCAACAACCGCAACCACAGAUCCAACAACCACAUCCCCAGCUCCAACAACCACAACUGCAGCUCCAACAACCACAACCACAGCUCCAACGACAACAACUCAAGCUACAACAACCCCAACCGCAGCUCCAACAACCACAUCUCUCUCUCCAACAACCACAAUCAUAGCUCCAACCACCACAACCACAGCCGAAACAACCACGACCGCAGCUCCAACAACCACAAUUGCAGCUCCAACAACCACAACUUCAGCUCCAACAACCACAACUUUGGCUCCAACAACCACAACCGCACCUUCAACAACCAUAACUCUAGUCCCAACAACCACAAUUGCAGCUCCAACAACCACAAUCAUAGCUCCAACAACCACAACUGUAGCCCCAACAACCACAACUGCAGCCCCAACAACCACAGCCACAACUCAAACAACCACAACCGCAGCUCCAACAACCACAACUCCAGCUCCAACAACCACAAUUGUAGCUCCAACCACCACAACAGCUUCAACAACCACAAGUGAAGCUCCAACAACCACAACCGAAGCUCCAACAACCACAACCGAAGCUCCCACAACCACAACUCCAGUCCCAACAACCAUAACCGCAGCUUCAACAACCACAACCGCAGAUCCAACAACUACAACUCCAGCUCUGACAACCCCAACCCCAGCUCCAGCAAUCUUAAAUCCAACAAGCACAACUCUAACAACCACAAGUCCAGCUCCAACAACCACAACUCCAACAACUGCAGCUCCAGCAAUCACAACUGAAGCUCCAGCAACCACAACUGAAGCUCCAACAACCACAACCACAGCUCCACCAACCGCAGCUCCAACAACUACAAGUCAAGCUCCAACAACCACAACUCCUGCUCCAACAACCACAACCGCAGCUCCAACAACCACAACCACAGCUCCAACAACCACAACAACAGCUUCAACAACCACAGCUGCAGCUCCAACAACCACAACCGCAGCUCCAACAACCACAGCUUCAGCUCCAACAACCACAAUCAUAGCUCCAACAACCACACCCCUAACAACUACAGCCACAGCUCAAAGAACCACAACCGCAGCUCCAACAACCCCAACUACAGCUCCAACAACCACAUUUGCAGCUCCAACAAUCACAACCACUUCUCCAACAACCACAACAACAGCUUCAACAAGCACAACUUCAGCUCCAAUAACCACAGCUGCACCUCCAACAACCACAACUGCAGCUCCAACAACUCCAACUCCGACAACCCCAGCUCUUGCAAUGUUAACUCCAACAAGCACAACUCAAACAACCACAACCACAGCUCCAACAACCAAAACCACAACUGCUGUUCCGAUAACCACAACUUUUUCUCCAACAACCACAACCGCAGCUCCAACAACCACAACUCCAGCUCCGACAACCCCAGCUCUAGCAAUCUUAACUCCAACAAACACAACUCAAGCUCCAACAACCGCAACCACAGAUCCAACAACCACAUCCCCAGCUCCAACAACCACAACUGCAGCUCCAACAACCACAACCACAGCUCCAACGACUACAACUCAAGCUACAACAACCCCAACCGCAGCUCCAACAACCACAUCUCUCUCUCCAACAACCACAAUCAUAGCUCCAACCACCACAACCACAGCCGAAACAACCACGACUGCAGCUCCAACAACCACAAUUGCAGCUCCAACAACCACAACUUCAGCUCCAACAACCACAACUUCGGCUCCAACAACCACAACCGCACCUUCAACAACCAUAACUCUAGUCCCAACAACCACAAUUGCAGCUCCAACAACCACAAUCAUAGCUCCAACAACCACAACUGUAGCCCCAACAACCACAACUGCAGCCCCAACAACCACAGCCACAACUCAAACAACCACAACCGCAGCUCCAACAACCACAACUCCAGCUCCAACAACCACAAUUGUAGCUCCAACCACCACAACAGCUUCAACAACCACAAGUGAAGCUCCAACAACCACAACCGAAGCUCCAACAACCACAACCGAAGCUCCCACAACCACAACUCCAGUCCCAACAACCAUAACCGCAGCUUCAACAACCACAACCGCAGCUCCCACAACCACAACCGCAGAUCCAACAACUACAACUCCAGCUCUGACAACCCCAACCCCAGCUCCAGCAAUCUUAAAUCCAACAAGCACAACUCUAACAACCACAAGUCCAGCUCCAACAACCACAACUCCAACAACUGCAGCUCCAGCAAUCACAACUGAAGCUCCAGCAACCACAACUGAAGCUCCAACAACCACAACCACAGCUCCACCAACCGCAGCUCCAACAACUACAAGUCAAGCUCCAACAACCACAACUCCUGCUCCAACAACCACAACUCCAGUUCCAACAACCACAACUCCAGGUUCAACAACCACAACAACAGCUCCAAGAACCAGAACCAUAGCUCCAACAACCACAACCGCAGCUCCAACAACCACAACUGCAGCUCCAACAACCACAAACAUAGCUCCAACAACCACAACCACAGCCACAACAACUACAGCCACAGCUCAGAGAACCCCAACUACAGCUCCAACAACCACAUUUGCAGCUCCAACAAUCACAACUACUUCUCCAACAACCACAACAACAGCUUCAACAACCACAGCUUCAGCUCCAACAACCACAUACGAAGCUCCCACAACCGUAGCUCCAACAACCACAACCGCAGAUCCAAAAACUACAACUCCAGCUUCGACAACCCCAACCCCAGCUCCAGCAAUCUUAACUCCAACAAGCACAAUUCUAACAACCACAACUGCAGUUUCAACAACCACAACUCCAGCUCCAACAACCACAAUCACAGCUCCAACAACUACAACUGACGCUCCAACAACCACAACAUCAGGUCCAACAACCACAACCGCAGCUCCAGCAACCACAAUCAUAGCUCCAACAACCACAACUGCAGCCCCAACAACCACAGCCACAGCUAAACCAACCACAACCGCAGCUCCAACAACCACAACCAAAGCUCCAACAACCACAACCGCAGCUCCAGCAACCACAACCACAGCUUCAACAACCACAACAACAGCUUCAACAACCACAGAUUCAGCUCCAACAACCACAACCGAAUCUCCCACAACCACAACUCCAGUUCCAUCAACCUCAACCGCAGCUCCAUCAACCACAACCGCAGAUCCAACAACUACAAUUCCAGCUCCGACAACCCCAACCCCAGUUCCAGCAAUCUUAACUCCAACAAGCACAACUCUAAGAACCACAACCGCAGCUCCAACAACCACAUCUCCUGCUCCAACCACCACAAUCACAGCUCCAACAACUAUAACUCCAGCUCCAACAACCACACCCACAGUUCCAACAACCACAGCUCCAACAACCACAAUCACACCUCCAACAACCACAACCGCAGCUCCAACAACCACAACCGCAGCUCCAACAACCACAACCGCAGCUCAAACAACCACAACUCCAGCUCCAACAACCACAAUUGAAGCUCCAGCCACCACAACCGCAGCUUCAACAACCACACCCGCAGCUCCAACAACCAUAACUCUAGCUCCCACAACGCCAGGUCCGACAUCCCCAACCCCAGGUCCAACAACCACAACCACAGUUCCAAACACCACAACUCUUGGUCCAACAGGCAUAACUCCCGCUCCAACUACAACACCAGGCUUAACAACUUUGGCACAUAUACAAAUGAAGAUAUCUUCUGUUGGAGAGAUCAGCAAUGGAACAAUCACUCAGCUUAUUCAGCAGUUUUUUAGAGAACAGCUCCUGAAUGGAACAGCUCACACCGUCACUGUGACCAAAAUUCAGAGGGUUAGUGUGAGCCCAUAG